CGGACGGGUGAGUAACGCGUGGAAAACCUGCCGUAUACUGGGGGAUAACACUUAGAAAUAGGUGCUAAUACCGCAUAAGCGCACAGACCCGCAUGGGACAGUGUGGAAAACAAAAAGCUAAAGCUUUUUAUGGUAUACGAUGGUUCCGCGUCUGAUUAGCUUGUUGGCGGGGUAACGGCCCACCAAGGCGACGAUCAGUAGCCGGCCUGAGAGGGUGAACGGCCACAUUGGGACUGAGACACGGCCCAGACUCCUACGGGAGGCAGCAG
Molecule: ribosomal RNA, 269 nt
Filed under: uncultured bacterium
Lineage: Bacteria
Description: partial 16S ribosomal RNA
Rfam family: Bacterial small subunit ribosomal RNA
Source: RNAcentral